RNAcentral lists this long non-coding RNA (1489 nucleotides) under Homo sapiens (human). RNAcentral's name for it is "HSALNT0028284". The record is from RNAcentral. Lineage: Eukaryota; Metazoa; Chordata; Mammalia; Primates; Hominidae.
AAGAAGUCCAGGUACUACUGGAGCACAACCUAGAAUGGGUGUUGCUAUGGUUUGGUAGCAGCUUUACUGACUUCAUGGAAUUCGUCUUGCUGGGAUCCUGCCCAUCACUCAGGCUUGAGUCAAAAUGAAGAUGGCAUAUGGAAAGGCGAUUCUUAUACUCAGAAGGAAAAGUUCCCAUGGAAGCCAUGGAUUCAUUCAUGACAAAGUGGGUGGCCUGUUUGUUUGCUUGAGGAUCCCAGCCAUGUUGCCCUCAGUAGCCCUCCCUCCUUGGACUGUGACAGUUUCUCCAUCUUCUUUUGUUUACAUGACCUUGAUCGCUUUGAGGAGUACAGGUAUGACCUCAUCACUCCACCAGCAAGAAGUAGAGUCUGAUUCCUUUCUUGAAUCUGGACUGAUCUCAGUGACUCAUUUGUCAUCAUAGACUGAGGCAGACAUGACACUGCAUGACUUCAGAGGGUAUGUCAGAAGAAGACUUGCAUUCUAUGCUUUCAUCUCUUCUCACUGUCUGGUUGUUUCCUCUCAGAACAUGUCCUGUAGGAACCCAGCCAUCAGGCUGUGAGAAGCCCAUGACCCAUGGGCAGGCCAUGGGUAGGUGCUCCAGUUGAUAGUCUCAGCAGAGCUCAGCUUUUGCAUUAUCCAGCUCUAAGGACCAGACAUAUUAAUGAAGGAGAGUCCAGAUGAUUCCAGCUACUUAGCAUUCAAGUCACCGCCUAGUCAGUCCAGUCCUCCUAGCUGAGAUGCAACUAUCAUGGAGCAGAAAGAAGAUACCCCUACUCUGCUUGACCUUCAGAAUUCAUGAGCAUAAUAAAACAGUUGCUGUUUUAUGUCACUAAAUUUGAGGUGUUUAUUAUGCAGUAACAGAUAAAUAGAGCACAGACCUUGGGCAAUUUAUUUAAUUCUUCUGUGCCUUAGUUCAUUCUGUAAAAUGGGGAUGUAAUUGUACUUACCUUAAAGGGUUGUCAUUAAAAUUAAAUGAGCAAAUGCAUGUACAGCACUUAGAAUAGUUCUUGAGACAUAGCAAGGACUCAGUAAUUGCUGUUAAAUAGAGAACAGUUAGGAGCUAAAGGAAUUAAGAGGAGGAGGAGCUGAUAUAGUUGAAUCUGUCACCAAGGAGACCUAACUUGGGCUGAGUCCCAAAGGGUGAGUAUUUUCAAUAUGCAGAGGUUGUCAAGGAGAUUGGAAGGCUAUGUGCUUAAGCACAUGAACCCCAAAGUAGGACUGGCAUAUCGGUGGGACAGAACAAGGACCAGCAUGAGUGGUGCAUGUGUUGGGGAGGUGUGAGGGAAACUGAAGUGGUCGGGACCCUACUACAGAAGGCAUCAAAGGCCGAACAAAAGCCUCUGAGUUUUCUGUAGCAGAUAACAUGGAUCAAAUUUCUCUUGUGGGAUGUUAUUCUUCCAAGUAAAUUAUCAUUGUAAUGAUGGUCUCUACUCAUAUUCAUCAGACUGUUCUCUAAAUCUGUUGAAGCCCGUGGGUUCUAAUUAAAAUG